This 503-nucleotide ribosomal RNA is filed under the name uncultured bacterium. RNAcentral's name for it is "partial 16S ribosomal RNA". It matches the Rfam family "Bacterial small subunit ribosomal RNA", at positions 30 to 523 of the family's 1533-position model. The record is from RNAcentral.
AUUGAACGCUGGCGGCAGGCUUAACACAUGCAAGUCGAGCGGGGUGAUGGUGCUUGCACUAUCACUUAGCGGCGGACGGGUGAGUAAUGCUUAGGAAUCUGCCUAUUAGUGGGGGACAACAUCUCGAAAGGGAUGCUAAUACCGCAUACGUCCUACGGGAGAAAGCAGGGGAUCACUUGUGACCUUGCGCUAAUAGAUGAGCCUAAGUCGGAUUAGCUAGUUGGUGGGGUAAAGGCCUACCAAGGCGACGAUCUGUAGCGGGUCUGAGAGGAUGAUCCGCCACACUGGGACUGAGACACGGCCCAGACUACUACGGGAGGCAGCAGUGGGGAAUAUUGGACAAUGGGGGGAACCCUGAUCCAGCCAUGCCGCGUGUGUGAAGAAGGCCUUAUGGUUGUAAAGCACUUUAAGCGGGGAGGAGGCCCUUUUGGUUAAUACCCAAGAUGAGUGGACGUUACUCGCAGAAUAAGCACCGGCUAACUCUGUGCCAGCCGCCGCGGUAA